This 370-nucleotide ribosomal RNA is filed under the name Kocuria sp. Its description in RNAcentral is "bacterial SSU rRNA". It matches the Rfam family "Bacterial small subunit ribosomal RNA", at positions 1151 to 1518 of the family's 1533-position model. The record is from RNAcentral. Lineage: Bacteria; Bacillati; Actinomycetota; Actinomycetes; Micrococcales; Micrococcaceae.
GCCGGGGUCNACUCGGAGGAAGGNGGGGNUGACGUCAAAUCAUCAUGCCCCUUAUGUCUUGGGCUUCACGCAUGCUACAAUGGCCAGUACAAUGGGUUGCGAUGCCGUGAGGUGGAGCUAAUCCCAAAAAGCUGGUCUCAGUUCGGAUCGUGGUCUGCAACUCGACCACGUGAAGUCGGAGUCGCUAGUAAUCGCAGAUCAGCAACGCUGCGGUGAAUACGUUCCCGGGCCUUGUACACACCGCCCGUCAAGUCACGAAAGUUGGUAACACCCGAAGCCGGUGGCCUAACCCUUGUGGGGGGAGCCGUCGAAGGUGGGACUGGCGAUUGGGACUAAGUCGUAACAAGGUAGCCGUACCGGAAGGUGCGGC